GAUGAACGCUGGCGGCGUGCCUAAUACAUGCAAGUCGAGCGAACAGACGAGGAGCUUGCUCCUCUGACGUUAGCGGCGGACGGGUGAGUAACACGUGGAUAACCUACCUAUAAGACUGGGAUAACUUCGGGAGACCGGAGCUAAUACCGGAUAAUAUAUUGAACCGCAUGGUUCAAUAGUGAAAGACGGUUUUGCUGUCACUUAUAGAUGGAUCCGCGCCGCAUUAGCUAGUUGGUAAGGUAACGGCUUACCAAGGCAACGAUGCGUAGCCGACCUGAGAGGGUGAUCGGCCACCCUGGAACUGAGACAGGGUCCAGACUCCUACGGGAGGCAGCAGUAGGGAAUCUUCCGCGAUGGGCGAAAGCCUGACGGAGCAACGCCGCGUGAGUGAUGAAGGUCUUCGGAUCGUAAAACGCUGUUAUUAGGGAAGAACAAAUGUGUAAGUAACUAUGCACGUCUUGACGGUACCUAAUCAGAAAGCCACGGCUAACUACGUG
This 497-nucleotide ribosomal RNA is filed under the name uncultured bacterium. RNAcentral's name for it is "partial 16S ribosomal RNA". It matches the Rfam family "Bacterial small subunit ribosomal RNA", at positions 28 to 507 of the family's 1533-position model. The record is from RNAcentral.